RNAcentral lists this long non-coding RNA (236 nucleotides) under Elaeis guineensis (African oil palm). RNAcentral describes it as "long non-coding RNA (EGUI_LNC068411)". Lineage: Eukaryota; Viridiplantae; Streptophyta; Magnoliopsida; Arecales; Arecaceae. The record is from RNAcentral.
UGCUAUGGUCAUAGACUUAAGGACUAAGCUUCUCAAAUUUCAUAGGACUACUCUCUUCUGCUAGGGUCGAUAGAUCCCAUCUUGAUGCACAUCCCACUCCUAUAGUAGACUAACUGUCGCCAACAUCCACUAUAAGGGCUCAUUGAGACCCAUGCUGAUAUGUCAGUCAAACUCUAGUAGCCUCACUGCGAGUAGUAGUAUCAUCUCAGGUCAAAGGACCAGUCAUACAACUGCAG